AUGUGCCAGGCAGAGUCCCAGAGCAAUCUCUGGUGCAUAUGCUGUAACACGUAUAGAAACACUGGAGAAGUUGUGUUGCUGUCACUAGAGCUUAAGCAUAUCAAAAUAUUAAUAAAAUUCCUUUCUAGAUUGCAAAAUAAUAACAUGCACCUGACUUUAGGAACAUGUGUAGUUCCAUCCGUGCUUGCAUGUCACAAGCUUGACGCUGCAUUGAACAUUUGCUUUCCUCUGGAAGAUGAACAAGACGAAAAGCAAACAAACAAAAAAAAACAACGAAACCUCCAAAAUUACCACCAAAAAAAUUCCAAAUUGGUGCCCACCCUACAUCCCUCACGCUCAUCCUCCUGGCCCGAACAAGCAAAACCAGCCCUGCGCUGUCCCUGCCCUGCAAGGAAGGGCGGUGAGCGGGUGGGCGCGGGGGGACGCAGGGCGGCUCCGGCUCUCGGCGCCUGGCCCCGAGCCUUUUCUUUAUUUUUUUUGCUCCUUCCUCCACGCACUUUGCAGUCAGGCAGAAACUGGCCAAAUCUCUCGGGGGAUCCGAGUGCCGAGCGGCUCGGGGAGCGGGGCCGCCAACCAGCGCUGCGCCUAACCAACAGGAGGAUGCUUGGGGCUUCCAGUUCUCUGAUCUGCUCAAAACCUGGGGUGCCGAGGAUGCUCCCGCCAGGGAGGUUUGCUCUGUGCUAACCGGGAUGCGGACCAACGGAGCAGCGAGCAGGGCAGGAUUGUGCCACCGGCCCGCAGGAAGCAGCAGCGGCUGCCUCGCCACGGCCGGCCGCAGCCCGAGGGAUGCAGCGGGGAGGAGAAGGGGUCGCAUCGCUGAGCUGUCGGGGUUGGGGCGGGGGUGUCCUUGCUGGGGUCACCGCGACGUCUCUGCUGCCGGAGGUGGGAGAUGAGGACGAGGAGAGGGAGAGGAAUGGUGGGGCCGUGGGGCUGGCCCUCCUCGCGCACGGAAAGGGGAGGUAGAUUGGCUUUGGAGACCUCUUGCCCUGGAGGAUGUCUUCAGACACCAGCUCAUUUUCCGGGGGGAAAGAGCCCACUGCAGGGCCCUGAACGCCCGUGCUUGCCUUCUCCCAAGGGGAAGGUGUCUCGGAGCCUGUUCAGGGAAAGCUCUUGAAGCAGGGGGCAACUUUCCCCUAAACUUUUUAGCCCUGAAACCGCCUCCACGGCUGCUGCAGACAAACGCCCAGCAGCCAGGGACGAGCCUGGAGUUGGUGGCCGUGACCCUUGGGACACCCCGACCCCAGCCCCUCUCCCUGCCCCGCUGCUGCCCCUGCCAUGCUCGCCCUGGGGAUCGUCUGUGUGAUGCUCUCCAUUCCCCCCUCCCCGUCCCUCUGU
This 1335-nucleotide long non-coding RNA is filed under the name Anas zonorhyncha (Eastern spot-billed duck). RNAcentral's name for it is "lncRNA (ENSAZOG00000010866.1)". Lineage: Eukaryota; Metazoa; Chordata; Aves; Anseriformes; Anatidae. The record is from RNAcentral.